GGGUUGUGAGGUUAAGCGACUAAGCGUACACGGUGGAUGCCCUGGCAGUCAGAGGCGAUGAAGGACGUGCUAAUCUGCGAUAAGCGUCGGUGAGGUGAUAUGAACCGUUAUAACCGGCGAUUUCCGAAUGGGGAAACCCAGUGUGUUUCGACACACUAUCAUUAACUGAAUCCAUAGGUUAAUGAGGCGAACCGGGGGAACUGAAACAUCUAAGUACCCCGAGGAAAAGAAAUCAACCGAGAUUCCCCCAGUAGCGGCGAGCGAACGGGGAGGAGCCCAGAGCCUGAAUCAGUGUGUGUGUUAGUGGAAGCGUCUGGAAAGGCGCGCGAUACAGGGUGACAGCCCCGUACACAAAAAUGCACAUAUUGUGAGCUCGAUGAGUAGGGCGGGACACGUGGUAUCCUGUCUGAAUAUGGGGGACCAUCCUCCAAGGCUAAAUACUCCUGACUGACCGAUAGUGAACCAGUACCGUGAGGGAAAGGCGAAAAGAACCCCGGCGAGGGAGUGAAAAAAGAACCUGAAACCGUGUACGUACAAGCAGUGGGAGCCUCUUUAUGGGGUGACUGCGUACCUUUUUGUAUAAUGGGUCAGCGACUUAUAUUCUGUAGCAAGGUUAACCGAAUAGGGGAGCCGAAGGGAAACCGAGUCUUAACUGGGCGUUAAGUUGCAGGGUAUAGACCCGAAACCCGGUGAUCUAGCCAUGGGCAGGUUGAAGGUUGGGUAACACUAACUGGAGGACCGAACCGACUAAUGUUGAAAAAUUAGCGGAUGACUUGUGGCUGGGGGGUGAAAGGCCAAUCAAACCGGGAGAUAGCUGGUUCUCCCCGAAAGCUAUUUAGGUAGCGCCUCGUGAAUUCAUCUCCGGGGUAGAGCACUGUUUCGGCAAGGGGUCAUCCCGACUUACCAACCCGAUGCAAACUGCGAAUACCGGAGAAUGUUAUCACGGGAGACACACGGCGGGUGCUAACGUCCGUCGUGAAGAGGGAAACAACCCAGACCGCCAGCUAAGGUCCCAAAGUCAUGGUUAAGUGGGAAACGAUGUGGGAAGGCCCAGACAGCCAGGAUGUUGGCUUAGAAGCAGCCAUCAUUUAAAGAAAGCGUAAUAGCUCACUGGUCGAGUCGGCCUGCGCGCGGAAGAUGUAACGGGGCUAAACCAUGCACCGAAGCUGCGGCAGCGACACUAUGUGUUGUUGGGUAGGGGAGCGUUCUGUAAGCCUGUGAAGGUGGCCUGUGAGGGUUGCUGGAGGUAUCAGAAGUGCGAAUGCUGACAUAAGUAACGAUAAAGCGGGUGAAAAGCCCGCUCGCCGGAAGACCAAGGGUUCCUGUCCAACGUUAAUCGGGGCAGGGUGAGUCGACCCUAAGGCGAGGCCGAAAGGCGUAGUCGAUGGGAAACAGGUUAAUAUUCCUGUACUUGGUGUUACUGCGAAGGGGGGACGGAGAAGGCUAUGUUGGCCGGGCGACGGUUGUCCCGGUUUAAGCGUGUAGGCUGGUUUUCCAGGCAAAUCCGGAAAACCAAGGCUGAGGCGUGAUGACGAGGCACUACGGUGCUGAAGCGACAAAUGCCCUGCUUCCGUGAAAAGCCUCUAAGCAUCAGGUAACAUCAAAUCGUACCCCAAACCGACACAGGUGGUCAGGUAGAGAAUACCAAGGCGCUUGAGAGAACUCGGGUGAAGGAACUAGGCAAAAUGGUGCCGUAACUUCGGGAGAAGGCACGCUGAUAUGUAGGUGAAGCGACUUGCUCGUGGAGCUGAAAUCAGUCGAAGAUACCAGCUGGCUGCAACUGUUUAUUAAAAAAACACAGCACUGUGCAAACACGAAAGUGGACGUAUACGGUGUGACGCCUGCCCGGUGCCGGAAGGUUAAUUGAUGGGGUUAGCGGUAACGCGAAGCUCUUGAUCGAAGCCCCGGUAAACGGCGGCCGUAACUAUAACGGUCCUAAGGUAGCGAAAUUCCUUGUCGGGUAAGUUCCGACCUGCACGAAUGGCGUAAUGAUGGCGGGCUGUCUCCACCCGAGACUCAGUGAAAUUGAACUCGCUGUGAAGAUGCAGUGUACCCGCGGCAAGACGGAAAGACCCCGUGAACCUUUACUAUAGCUUGACACUGAACAUUGAGCCUUGAUGUGUAGGAUAGGUGGGAGGCUUCGAAGUGUGGACGCCAGUCUGCAUGGAGCCGACCUUGAAAUACCACCCUUUAAUGUUUGAUGUUCUAACGUUGGCCCGUAAUCCGGGUUGCGGACAGUGUCUGGUGGGUAGUUUGACUGGGGCGGUCUCCUCCUAAAGAGUAACGGAGGAGCACGAAGGUUGGCUAAUCCUGGUCGGACAUCAGGAGGUUAGUGCAAUGGCAUAAGCCAGCUUGACUGCGAGCGUGACGGCGCGAGCAGGUGCGAAAGCAGGUCAUAGUGAUCCGGUGGUUCUGAAUGGAAGGGCCAUCGCUCAACGGAUAAAAGGUACUCCGGGGAUAACAGGCUGAUACCGCCCAAGAGUUCAUAUCGACGGCGGUGUUUGGCACCUCGAUGUCGGCUCAUCACAUCCUGGCGGGGCUGAAGUAGGUCCCAAAGGGUAUGGCUGUUCGCCAUUUAAAGUGGUACGCGAGCUGGGUUUAGAACGUCGUGAGACAGUUCGGUCCCUAUCUGCCGUGGGCGCUGGAGAACUGAGGGGGGCUGCUCCUAGUACGAGAGGACCGGAGUGGACGCAUCACUGGUGUUCGGGUUGUCAUGCCAAUGGCACUGCCCGGUAGCUAAAUGCGGAAGAGAUAAGUGCUGAAAGCAUCUAAGCACGAAACUUGCCCCGAGAUGAGUUCUCCCUGAGACUUAGAGUCUCCUGAAGGAACGUUGAAGACGACGACGUUGAUAGGCCGGGUGUGUAAGCGCAGCGAUGCGUUGAGCUAACCGGUACUAAUGAACCGUGAGGCUUAACCUUACAACGCCGAAG
This 2930-nucleotide ribosomal RNA is filed under the name Escherichia coli. RNAcentral's name for it is "23S ribosomal RNA". It matches the Rfam family "Bacterial large subunit ribosomal RNA". The record is from RNAcentral. Lineage: Bacteria; Pseudomonadati; Pseudomonadota; Gammaproteobacteria; Enterobacterales; Enterobacteriaceae.